Molecule: small nuclear RNA, 107 nt
Filed under: Microcebus murinus (gray mouse lemur)
Lineage: Eukaryota; Metazoa; Chordata; Mammalia; Primates; Cheirogaleidae
Source: RNAcentral
GUGCUAGCUUCAGCAGCACAUAUGCUAAAAUUGGAACGAUACAGAGAAGAUUCGCAUGGCCCCUGUGCAAGGAUGACACGCAAAUUCGUGAAGCAUUCCAUAUUUUU